ACACUGAUUGCUCAGUACGGCGAGUGAAGCGGCAAAAGCUCAAAUUUUAAAGCUGGCAUCUUCGGUGUCCGCGUUGUAAUUUUGUGAGGCAUCUCCGGGUAGGGCGCCGGCCUAAGUUCCUUGGAACAGGACGUCACAGAGGGUGAGAAUCCCGUGCUUGGCUGGCUGUCCCCGUCCAUGUGAGGUGUCUUCGACGAGUCGAGUUGUUUGGGAAUGCAGCUCAAAAUGGGUGGUAAAUUUCAUCUAAAGCUAAAUAUUGGUGGGAGACCGAUAGCGCACAAGUAGAGUGAUCGAAAGAUGAAAAGCACUUUGAAAAUAGAGUUAAAAAGUACGUGAAAUUGUUGAAAGGGAAGCGCUUGAGACCAGACUUCGGUAGGGGGUGAUCAGCCGUGCUUCGGUGCGGUGCACUUGUUCCUCUCUGGGCCAGCAUCGGUUGAGGCGGCGGGAUAAAGGUCCCGGGAAUGUGGCUCCUUCACGGGAGUGUUAUAGCCCGGGUGAAUGCCGCCAGCUUCGACCGAGGACCGCGCCCGCAAGGGUUAGGAUGCUUGGCAUAAUGGUCUUCAGCGACCCGUCUUGAACCACGGGACCA
RNAcentral lists this ribosomal RNA (589 nucleotides) under Morchella sp. Its description in RNAcentral is "partial large subunit ribosomal RNA". It matches the Rfam family "Eukaryotic large subunit ribosomal RNA", at positions 68 to 664 of the family's 3401-position model. The record is from RNAcentral. Lineage: Eukaryota; Fungi; Ascomycota; Pezizomycetes; Pezizales; Morchellaceae.